AUGGGAGCUGCUGGAAAGGUGUUUUUUUAUCUGGACACGCUGCAGCCCAGGACAAACCUGGAUUCUAUUAGGAAACUGGCAGGAGGGCUGUUAGGGAGGCACCCAGGACCGCCUGCCACCCUGCCCCUGCUCCCAGCACCCUCCCCAGGCGCUGGCUACAUCUGUCCUCAGCUGCAGCCUCCCUCUCCCUUCCGUGGCCCAGCAAGCUGCUGCUUUUCCUCGAAGACUUUUCAGUUCUCUCCCCGAAGCCUAGCUGGAAAAAAAAAAAAAAAAGCAAGGGACAGUCACCCAGUGAAAUGCCCUGCGACCAUGAACAAAAAAAUAGCCAGUUCAGGAGUCCCUGCGGUGGCCUAGCGGGCUAAGAAUCCGAUUAGUAUCCAGGAGGAUGCAGGUUUGAUCCCUGGCCUUGCUCAGUGGGUUAAGGAUCCGGUGUUGCUGUGAGCUGUGGUGUAGGUUACAGACUUGGUUCAGAUCCCGCGUUGCUGUGGUUGUGAUGCAGGCCCGUAGCUGUAGCUCCGAUUGGACCCCUAGCCUGGGCACUGCCAUAUGCUGCAGAUGCGACCCUGAAAACGAAACAAACAAAGACAACUCAGCCACUUCUGCGCACAGUGAUGAGGACAGAUCUCUGUUGAGGGUUGAACUGAGCCCCCGCUCCUCGCCCCUUAUCUGGAAGUGGUCUCUGCAGAUGUUGUUAGUUAAGCAGAGGGCGUCCUGGGGGAGGCCGGGCCUUCAAGCCACUGAGUGGUGUCCUUGUAAACCGGGGAAAUAGACACACCGGGGAGAAGGCCGGAGGAGGUGGAGGCAGAGUCUGGAGCCGCAGGUCUGCGGGGCAAGGACCGCCGGCCCCCAGACCCUGGAAGAGGCCAGGAAGGAGGCUCCCUCGGCCCCUCCAGAAGGAUCCAGCUCUGCCAGCACCUGAAUUUCACACUUCAGGCCUCCAGAACUCAGAACAAACGUCUGUUGUCUUAGCCCCCCGGCUUGUGGCUUGUGGGGCGUUGUUAUGGCAGCGCUGGGAAACCGCUGCAGCCUCCACGGAAACCGUCCGCUGAGAGAAGCACAGAACAGAAUGGCCAGUACCUGGCUUCCACGUGCGUGGUUACUUUUUGCCACACUAACCUAUUACGCAUUCCAAAUAAGGUAAAUAAACAGGAGUUCCUGUUGGGGUGCUCCCGACUA
Molecule: long non-coding RNA, 1176 nt
Filed under: Sus scrofa (pig)
Lineage: Eukaryota; Metazoa; Chordata; Mammalia; Artiodactyla; Suidae
Description: lncRNA (ENSSSCG00060020500.1)
Source: RNAcentral